This 387-nucleotide long non-coding RNA is filed under the name Mus pahari (shrew mouse). Its description in RNAcentral is "lncRNA (MGP_PahariEiJ_G0003157.1)". Lineage: Eukaryota; Metazoa; Chordata; Mammalia; Rodentia; Muridae. The record is from RNAcentral.
AGGAGGGGGGGUCUGGUACGGGGAGGCCUCUAGACCUGCUAUCGGACCAGACUGGGGUCAGGGGCGAGCCGCACCUGGCCAUUCAGGGAAACUGCCACCCUCAGCUCCAUCUGCCCCAGGAUCCCCAAAUCAGACUCUGCCAUCAGCAAGGGGAGACUGUAACAGACUGCGACCCUCACAUGCUGAUAGGCAGUCAAGAAUAUUUUCUAGGGGGCUGGAGAGAUGGCUCAGUGAUUAAGAGCACUGACCGCUCUUCCGGAGGUCCUGUGUUCAAAUCCCAGCAACCACAUGGUGACUCACAGCCAUCUGUAAUGAGAUCUGAUGCCCUCUUUGGGUGUGUCUGAAGACAGCUACAGUGUACUUACAUAUAAUAAAUAAAUAAAUCUU